RNAcentral lists this ribosomal RNA (223 nucleotides) under Massilia sp. CCM 8734. RNAcentral describes it as "partial 16S ribosomal RNA". It matches the Rfam family "Bacterial small subunit ribosomal RNA", at positions 1315 to 1533 of the family's 1533-position model. Lineage: Bacteria; Pseudomonadati; Pseudomonadota; Betaproteobacteria; Burkholderiales; Oxalobacteraceae. The record is from RNAcentral.
ACUACAUGAAGUUGGAAUCGCUAGUAAUCGCGGAUCAGCAUGUCGCGGUGAAUACGUUCCCGGGUCUUGUACACACCGCCCGUCACACCAUGGGAGCGGGUUUUACCAGAAGUAGGUAGCUUAACCGCAAGGGGGGCGCUUACCACGGUAGGAUUCGUGACUGGGGUGAAGUCGUAACAAGGUAGCCGUAUCGGAAGGUGCGGCUGGAUCACCUCCUUUCUAG